Molecule: transfer RNA, 53 nt
Filed under: Mesocricetus auratus (golden hamster)
Lineage: Eukaryota; Metazoa; Chordata; Mammalia; Rodentia; Cricetidae
Source: Rfam by way of RNAcentral
AGGGGUUUAGUUUAAUAGUAGAACACUUGCCUUGCAUGCAAGAAUAAGUCCUA